ACUACCCCACGAGUGAGGAAUACCGGCGAGAAAUCGCCGACAAGACCGCAUGAGCUCUUCAUCGUGAUGGGUGAAGAGGAAAGCUUUUCUUUCGCAAGAGAGGGAGGCGCUCGGGGAUGGGCCUGUGGCCGAUUAGCUAGUUGGUGGGGAAGAGCCUACCAAGGCGACGAUCGGUAGCUGGUCUGAGAGGACGAUCAGCCACACUGGGAUUGAGAACGGCCCAG
Molecule: ribosomal RNA, 224 nt
Filed under: uncultured bacterium
Lineage: Bacteria
Description: partial 16S ribosomal RNA
Rfam family: Bacterial small subunit ribosomal RNA
Source: RNAcentral